This 252-nucleotide unclassified non-coding RNA is filed under the name uncultured fungus. Its description in RNAcentral is "partial contains small subunit ribosomal RNA, internal transcribed spacer 1, and 5.8S ribosomal RNA". The stretch from base 1 to 73 matches the Rfam family "Eukaryotic small subunit ribosomal RNA", at positions 1759 to 1831 of the family's 1831-position model. The record is from RNAcentral. Lineage: Eukaryota; Fungi.
UCAAACUUGGUCAUUUAGAGGAAGUAAAAGUCGUAACAAGGUCUCCGUUGGUGAACCAGCGGAGGGAUCAUUAUCGAGUUACCAAACUCCAAACCAUUGUGAACAUACCAUGUUGCCUCGGCGGCCGGUCUCCGGGCCGCCGCCGGGGGACCAAACUCUUGUAUCUGUAGUGGAUCUUCUGAGUGGCAUAAGCAAAUAAUCAAAACUUUCAGCAACGGAUCUCUUGGCUCUGGCAUCGAUGAAGAACGCAGC